This 782-nucleotide ribosomal RNA is filed under the name Salmonella enterica subsp. enterica serovar Derby. Its description in RNAcentral is "partial 23S ribosomal RNA". It matches the Rfam family "Bacterial large subunit ribosomal RNA", at positions 1 to 715 of the family's 2925-position model. Lineage: Bacteria; Pseudomonadati; Pseudomonadota; Gammaproteobacteria; Enterobacterales; Enterobacteriaceae. The record is from RNAcentral.
GGGUUGUGAGGUUAAGCGACUAAGCGUACACGGUGGAUGCCCUGGCAGUCAGAGGCGAUGAAGGGCGUGCUAAUCUGCGAUAAGCGCCGGUAAGGUGAUAUGAACCGUUAUAACCGGCGAUACCCGAAUGGGGAAACCCAGUGUGACUCGUCACACUAUCAUUAACUGAAUCCAUAGGUUAAUGAGGCGAACCGGGGGAACUGAAACAUCUAAGUACCCCGAGGAAAAGAAAUCAACCGAGAUUCCCCCAGUAGCGGCGAGCGAACGGGGAGGAGCCCAGAGCCUGAAUCAGCAUGUGUGUUAGUGGAAGCGUCUGGAAAGGCGCGCGAUACAGGGUGACAGCCCCGUACACAAAAGCGCAUGUGCUGUGAGCUCGAUGAGUAGGGCGGGACACGUGGUAUCCUGUCUGAAUAUGGGGGGACCAUCCUCCAAGGCUAAAUACUCCUGACUGACCGAUAGUGAACCAGUACCGUGAGGGAAAGGCGAAAAGAACCCCGGCGAGGGGAGUGAAAAAGAACCUGAAACCGUGUACGUACAAGCAGUGGGAGCCCCACCACUAAGCCAGUGGUGAACUCCACAUACGCAUCCUUUGCUGAGGAUACGGUUAACGGAGCGCAAGCGACGUUCAACCGCAAAAGAAGCAGAGGGGGCUUAGUGGUGGGGUGACUGCGUACCUUUUGUAUAAUGGGUCAGCGACUUAUAUUCUGUAGCAAGGUUAACCGUAUAGGGGAGCCGGAGGGAAACCGAGUCUUAAUUGGGCGUUAAGUUGCAGGGUAUAGACC